UAAUACGUAGGGGGCAAGCGUUGUCCGGAUUUAUUGGGCGUAAAGCGCUCGCAGGUGGUUCGUUGCGUCGUGCGUGAAAGACCCUGGCUCAACUGGGGAGUGUCGUGCGAUACGGGCGGACUAGAGGCCAGUAGGGGGAUGCGGAAUUCCGGGUGUAGUGGUGGAAUGCGUAGAGAUCCGGAGGAACACCAGCGGCGAAGGCGGCAUCCUGGACUGGUCCUGACACUCAGGAGCGAAAGCGUGGGGAGCGAUCCGG
This 256-nucleotide ribosomal RNA is filed under the name uncultured bacterium. RNAcentral describes it as "partial 16S ribosomal RNA". It matches the Rfam family "Bacterial small subunit ribosomal RNA", at positions 521 to 776 of the family's 1533-position model. The record is from RNAcentral.